AUGCUCCCUUCAUUGAUUUCUCCAACGUCAGUAACUUUGCAAGCUCAGUGGCUCGGACUAGCUUAUCACCUGUGGAAAACAGGUAGAGAUGAGUCUCAGGAUGCACCGGUCAAGUGCAGCCUCUGUAUUGAAUGCUUCAUCUUCAAAUGCAGUUGUGUCAAGACCCAGAGCAGCAAUUUCUUCUAUUUUCUUUUGGAUCUGAGACAAAAAGAAGGAAUCCUUAAACAACAGAGCACAGACACUGGCCUUUUAAGUUUGAGAAAGAAACGUGAUGUACCUGUGAGAGAUGCAACUUCCUUGUCAUGA
This 306-nucleotide ribosomal RNA is filed under the name Triticum aestivum (bread wheat). RNAcentral describes it as "partial small subunit ribosomal RNA". Lineage: Eukaryota; Viridiplantae; Streptophyta; Magnoliopsida; Poales; Poaceae. The record is from RNAcentral.